GUCCCUGUCGUCUAGUUGGUUUAGGAUGUUGGCCUCUCAUGCCAGAGAUCGCGGGUUCAAAUCCCGCCAGGGAUG
RNAcentral lists this transfer RNA (75 nucleotides) under Candidatus Vampirococcus lugosii. RNAcentral describes it as "tRNA-Glu". It matches the Rfam family "tRNA". From Rfam's summary of the family: Transfer RNA (tRNA) molecules are approximately 80 nucleotides in length. Their secondary structure includes four short double-helical elements and three loops (D, anti-codon, and T loops). Lineage: Bacteria; Candidatus Absconditibacteriota. The record is from RNAcentral.